This 175-nucleotide non-coding RNA is filed under the name Dethiosulfatibacter aminovorans. RNAcentral also lists the same sequence under 1 other name. Lineage: Bacteria; Bacillati; Bacillota; Tissierellia. The record is from RNAcentral.
CUGAAUAUUUUAGUAUCAGGUUUCAUUAUCGAAAUAAUAGGGAAAACGGUGCAAUUCCGUUACAGCCCCCGCUACUGUAAGCAUGGACGAGUCCCAUGAUCCACUGGAGAAAUUCCGGGAAGGAGGGAUAGGAUGAUAUGCGAGUCAGGAGACCUGCCUGGUAUGGCUUAGUUUA